CAGUGAAAAGGGGAGAAAAAUACCCCCAAGAGGUCUGCAAAAACCGGGCUCAUGGACGGAUGUUCUCCAUUCAACCACAGCUUAGUCUGACAGGUCACUG
This 100-nucleotide long non-coding RNA is filed under the name Capra hircus (goat). RNAcentral's name for it is "lncRNA (ENSCHIG00010012837.1)". Lineage: Eukaryota; Metazoa; Chordata; Mammalia; Artiodactyla; Bovidae. The record is from RNAcentral.